This 450-nucleotide ribosomal RNA is filed under the name Paenibacillus sp. NBR-10. RNAcentral's name for it is "bacterial SSU rRNA". It matches the Rfam family "Bacterial small subunit ribosomal RNA", at positions 15 to 451 of the family's 1533-position model. Lineage: Bacteria; Bacillati; Bacillota; Bacilli; Caryophanales; Paenibacillaceae. The record is from RNAcentral.
GAUCCUGGCUCAGGACGAACGCUGGCGGCGUGCCUAAUACAUGCAAGUCGAGCGGAGUUGAUGAGGUGCUUGCACCUCUGAUGCUUAGCGGCGGACGGGUGAGUAACACGUAGGUAACCUGCCCAUAAGACCGGGAUAACAUUCGGAAACGAAUGCUAAUACCGGAUACGCAAUUUUCUCGCAUGAAGGAAUUGGGAAAGGCGGAGCAAUCUGUCACUUAUGGAUGGACCUGCGGCGCAUUAGCUAGUUGGUGAGGUAACGGCUCACCAAGGCGACGAUGCGUAGCCGACCUGAGAGGGUGAUCGGCCACACUGGGACUGAGACACGGCCCAGACUCCUACGGGAGGCAGCAGUAGGGAAUCUUCCGCAAUGGGCGAAAGCCUGACGGAGCAACGCCGCGUGAGUGAAGAAGGUUUUCGGAUCGUAAAGCUCUGUUGCCAGGGAAGAACG